RNAcentral lists this ribosomal RNA (651 nucleotides) under Ewingella americana. RNAcentral describes it as "bacterial SSU rRNA". It matches the Rfam family "Bacterial small subunit ribosomal RNA", at positions 54 to 695 of the family's 1533-position model. Lineage: Bacteria; Pseudomonadati; Pseudomonadota; Gammaproteobacteria; Enterobacterales; Yersiniaceae. The record is from RNAcentral.
CAUGCAGUCGAGCGGCAGCGGGAAGUAGCUUGCUACUUUGCCGGCGAGCGGCGGACGGGUGAGUAAUGUCUGGGAAACUGCCUGAUGGAGGGGGAUAACUACUGGAAACGGUAGCUAAUACCGCAUGACCUCGAAAGAGCAAAGUGGGGGACCUUCGGGCCUCACGCCAUCGGAUGUGCCCAGAUGGGAUUAGCUAGUAGGUGAGGUAAUGGCUCACCUAGGCGACGAUCCCUAGCUGGUCUGAGAGGAUGACCAGCCACACUGGAACUGAGACACGGUCCAGACUCCUACGGGAGGCAGCAGUGGGGAAUAUUGCACAAUGGGCGCAAGCCUGAUGCAGCCAUGCCGCGUGUGUGAAGAAGGCCUUCGGGUUGUAAAGCACUUUCAGCGAGGAGGAAGGCGUUAAGGUUAAUAACCUUAGCGAUUGACGUUACUCGCAGAAGAAGCACCGGCUAACUCCGUGCCAGCAGCCGCGGUAAUACGGAGGGUGCAAGCGUUAAUCGGAAUUACUGGGCGUAAAGCGCACGCAGGCGGUUUGUUAAGUCAGAUGUGAAAUCCCCGAGCUUAACUUGGGAACUGCAUUUGAAACUGGCAAGCUAGAGUCUUGUAGAGGGGGGUAGAAUUCCAGGUGUAGCGGUGAAAUGCGUAGAA